Molecule: ribosomal RNA, 468 nt
Filed under: uncultured bacterium
Lineage: Bacteria
Description: partial 16S ribosomal RNA
Rfam family: Bacterial small subunit ribosomal RNA
Source: RNAcentral
GAUGAACGCUGGCGGCGUGCUUAACACAUGCAAGUCGAACGGAAAGGCCCAGGCUUGCUUGGGUACUCGAGUGGCGAACGGGUGAGUAACACGUGGGCGAUCUGCUCUGCACUUUGGGAUAAGCCUGGGAAACUGGGUUUAAUACCGGAUAGGACCACUCCUUGGAUGUUGUGGUGGAAAGCUUUUGCGGUGUGGGAUCAGGUGGCGGCGUAUCAGCUUGUUGGAGGGGUCGUGGCCUAGCCCGGCGUAGACGAGUAGCCGGCACAAGAGCGUGUAGGGACAGACUAGACUUGAAAGACGGGCAGGACUCGGGCGGAUGGCAGCAGUGGCGAAUAUCGGACAAUGCGAGACAGCGUGAGGGAGCGAGGCCGCGUGGGGGAUGAGCGCCUUUGGUUUGUAAAAAACUCACGCGAGGGACAAAGCGUUGUUGUGACGGUACCUAAAGAAGAAGCACCGGCUAACUACGUG